GAUGAACGCUGGCGGCGUGCCUAAUACAUGCAAGUCGAGCGAACAGACGAGGAUCUUGCUCCUUUGACGUUAGCGGCGGACGGGUGAGUAACACGUAUGUAACCUACCUAUAAGACUGGGAUAACUUCGGGAAACCGGAGCUAAUACCGGAUAAUAUUUCGAACCGCAUUGUUCGAUAGUGAAAGAUGGCUUUGCUAUCACUUAUAGAUGGACAUGCGCCGGAUUAGCUAGUUGGUAAGGUAACGGCUUACCAAGGCAACGAUACGUAGCCGACCUGAGAGGGUGAUCGCCCACACUGGAACUGAGACACGGUCCAGACUCCUACGGGAGGCCGCAGUAGGGAAUCUUACGCAAUGGGCGAAAGCCUGACGGAGCAACGCCGCGUGAGUGAUGAAGGCGCUCGGAUCGUAAAACUCUGUUAUUAGGGAAGAACAAACGUGUAAGUAACUGUGCACGUCUUGACGGUACCUAGUCAGAAAGCCACGGCUAACUACGUG
Molecule: ribosomal RNA, 497 nt
Filed under: uncultured bacterium
Lineage: Bacteria
Description: partial 16S ribosomal RNA
Rfam family: Bacterial small subunit ribosomal RNA
Source: RNAcentral